CAUGCAACGGUGGGGUCCCUCGGCCUGGCCUGCACCUUCUCAAAAUCCGGGACCCCUCGGGGUAUGUCGGAGAGUCAGUUUUGCCCAAUCCCGCAGGCCAGGCCGAGGGACCCCACUGGUGCACG
This is a non-coding RNA of Myotis lucifugus (little brown bat), 125 nucleotides long. The record is from Rfam. NCBI's taxonomy places the organism in Eukaryota, Metazoa, Chordata, Mammalia, Chiroptera, Vespertilionidae.